Molecule: ribosomal RNA, 430 nt
Filed under: uncultured bacterium
Lineage: Bacteria
Description: bacterial SSU rRNA
Rfam family: Bacterial small subunit ribosomal RNA
Source: RNAcentral
GUAGGGAAUUUUCGGCAAUGGGGGAAACCCUGACCGAGCAAUGCCGCGUGAGUGAAGACGGCCUUCGGGUUGUAAAGCUCUGUUGUAAGGGAAGAACGGCAUAGAGAGGGAAUGCUCUAUGAGUGACGGUACCUUACCAGAAAGCCACGGCUAACUACGUGCCAGCAGCCGCGGUAAUACGUAGGUGGCAAGCGUUAUCCGGAAUUAUUGGGCGUAAAGGGUGCGUAGGCGGCGAGAUAAGUCUGAGGUAAAAGCCCGUGGCUCAACCACGGUAAGCCUUGGAAACUGUCUGGCUGGAGUGCAGGAGAGGACAAUGGAAUUCCAUGUGUAGCGGUAAAAUGCGUAGAUAUAUGGAGGAACACCAGUGGCGAAGGCGGUUGUCUGGCCUGUAACUGACGCUGAAGCACGAAAGCGUGGGGAGCAAAUAGGA